This 492-nucleotide ribosomal RNA is filed under the name uncultured bacterium. RNAcentral's name for it is "partial 16S ribosomal RNA". It matches the Rfam family "Bacterial small subunit ribosomal RNA", at positions 29 to 507 of the family's 1533-position model. The record is from RNAcentral.
AGUGAACGCUAGCGGUAGGCCUAACACAUGCAAGUCGAACGGCAGCACAGUAAGAGCUUGCUCUUACGGGUGGCGAGUGGCGGACGGGUGAGGAAUACAUCGGAAUCUACUUUUUCGUGGGGGAUAACGUAGGGAAACUUACGCUAAUACCGCAUACGACCUACGGGUGAAAGCAGGGGAUCUUCGGACCUUGCGCGAUUGAAUGAGCCGAUGUCGGAUUAGCUAGUUGGCGGGGUAAAGGCCCACCAAGGCGACGAUCCGUAGCUGGUCUGAGAGGAUGAUCAGCCACACUGGAACUGAGACACGGUCCAGACUCCUACGGGAGGCAGCAGUGGGGAAUAUUGGACAAUGGGCGCAAGCCUGAUCCAGCCAUACCGCGUGGGUGAAGAAGGCCUUCGGGUUGUAAAGCCCUUUUGUUGGGAAAGAAAAGCAGCAGGUUAAUACCCCGCUGCUCUGACGGUACCCAAAGAAUAAGCACCGGCUAACUUCGUG